Drosophila suzukii is the source of this 1108-nucleotide non-coding RNA. Lineage: Eukaryota; Metazoa; Arthropoda; Insecta; Diptera; Drosophilidae. The record is from RefSeq and is a predicted model, not a curated record.
UUAGUAUUCAAUUGUCGUGUAAGGGGAACAAAAUUUUAGUUUUACACAAAUAAAAGUACAAAAUAAAAAAUAUGGACGGAAAAAAGAGCGGAAGCAACGUGUAAUCCAGUUUACAAGUUCCAGAAAGAAGCGAAUAUUACAAUCAAUGGCUACCUCAACUUCCUAAACGAUUACAAAAAAAGAUUUUGCGGAAUUUCCCCACAGAACGUGAUUCGUUUCGGAGCUAGAGAAUGGAACAACUUGCCCCUCCAAGAAAAGGAUCGCUUCAAAAACAUGCGAUUUUGCGAAAUUUCACCACAGGACUUGAUACGUUUUGGAGCUAGACUCUAACACACGUAUUUUAAUAAUUGCUACAUAUUUUCCAUAAUUAAGAUAUUUCUCACAUACCAUAUUCUUAAAGCGUUCCUUUUCCUGAAGGGUGAACUUUUUCCAUUCUCUAGCAACUAGAGAAUGGAAAAAGUUGACUUUUCAGGUGAAGGAACGCUUUAACAAUAUGGUAAGUGAGAAAUAUCUUAAUUAUCGAAAAUAUGUAGCAAUUAUUAACAUAGCUAGCUGCUAGAGAAUGGAACAAGUUGCCCCUCCAGGAAAAGGAACACUUCAAAAAGAUGAAACAACCUUAAGUGUUUGGAAGUAAGUCCCAUGGGGACAGCCCCGAUAAAUCUGAGCGGGAUAAACGUAGUCCAGUUCUUUCUCCGUAUGCCCGUGAGAAGGAGUCCAGGAACAGAAUGAAAAGGAAGCCAUCCAAAUCAAUCAAGAACCAGGUUAAGAAGAAAGCCGGACCUCCUUCUUUUCCCCCAAAGAAACGCGGAUUUAUACCCUUCAUGCGCAGGUUUCAAAGGAUGAAUAAGGACUUGCCGCCUAAUGAUCUGUUGAAAAAGGCAACUCGUAUUUGGUGCCACCUACAUAGAAGCCAUCUCAAACCACUUGAGAGGCCACUUUGAACUAUGAGAACUGGAGUGUAACCUAACACUUUUAAAUUUUAGUCGCUACAAACGUCUUUAAAGUGCAACAAAUCAAACGAUUUAAUUUGGAUAGUGAGCUUUAUAUGAUAUUGGAUAAAAUUACAACAGAAUAGAGGUCUGCAAGUUACCGACAAAAUACCAAAAAA